UACAGAGGGGGCAAGCGUUGUUCGGAAUUACUGGGCGUAAAGAGCGCGCAGGCGGUCGUUCAAGUCGAGUGUGAAAGCCCCCGGCUCAACUGGGGAGGGUCACUCGAUACUGAUCGACUGGAAGGCAGGAGAGGGAAGCGGAAUUCCCGGUGUAGUGGUGAAAUGCGUAGAUAUCGGGAGGAACACCAGUGGCGAAGGCGGCUUCCUGGCCUGUUCUUGACGCUGAGGCGCGAAAGCUAGGGGAGCAAACGGG
This 253-nucleotide ribosomal RNA is filed under the name uncultured bacterium. RNAcentral describes it as "partial 16S ribosomal RNA". It matches the Rfam family "Bacterial small subunit ribosomal RNA", at positions 524 to 776 of the family's 1533-position model. The record is from RNAcentral.